UGGUGGAGCGAUUUGUCUGGUUAAUUCCGAUAACGAACGAGACUCUAGCCUAUUAACUAGUUCACCCGUUCUGUCUGUGCGGGUGCCAACUUCUUAGAGGGACAAGUGGCUUUUAGUCCACACGAGAUUGAGCAAUAACA
RNAcentral lists this ribosomal RNA (140 nucleotides) under uncultured eukaryote. RNAcentral describes it as "partial 18S ribosomal RNA". It matches the Rfam family "Eukaryotic small subunit ribosomal RNA", at positions 1299 to 1458 of the family's 1831-position model. The record is from RNAcentral.